RNAcentral lists this long non-coding RNA (229 nucleotides) under Brassica napus (rape). RNAcentral describes it as "long non-coding RNA (BNAP_LNC011653)". The record is from RNAcentral. Lineage: Eukaryota; Viridiplantae; Streptophyta; Magnoliopsida; Brassicales; Brassicaceae.
CUAUUAGCGCCAAACUUAUGAGUUUAUGUGGUCCUAAAUAGGUUGUUACCCUUUAAGAAUAAGAGAACAAACGGUCUCCAGCAAUCUUUAUGUGAGCUUCCAAGUAGGGCUGUUAAAUAUUUCUUAUAAAUCACUGGAAGAAUAUGAAACUUAAGGCUGUGACUUAAAUUGCAUGUUAAUUUUGAACUCAAGUGGUUUUCCAAAUAAAGUUAAAAAUUUCAUGUUAAUU